UGGGGAAUAUUGGACACUGGGCGAAAGCCUGAUCCAGCCAUGCCGCGUGUGUGAAGAAGGUCUUCGGAUUGUAAAGCACUUUAAGUUGGGAGGAAGGGCAGUAAGCGAAUACCUUGCUGUUUUGACGUUACCGACAGAAUAAGCACCGGCUAACUCUGUGCCAGCAGCCGCGGUAAUACAGAGGGUGCAAGCGUUAAUCGGAAUUACUGGGCGUAAAGCGCGCGUAGGUGGGUCGUUAAGUUGAAUGUGAAAGCCCCGGGCUCAACCUGGGAACUGCAUCCAAAACUGGCGGGCUAGAGUAGGGCAGAGGGUGGUGGAAUUUCCUGUGUAGCGGUGAGAUGCGUAGAUAUAGGAAGGAACACCAGUGGCGAAGGCGACCACCUGGGCUCAUACUGACACUGAGGUGCGAAAGCGUGGGGAGCAAACAGG
This 429-nucleotide ribosomal RNA is filed under the name Pseudomonadota bacterium. RNAcentral's name for it is "Proteobacteria bacterium partial 16S ribosomal RNA". It matches the Rfam family "Bacterial small subunit ribosomal RNA", at positions 355 to 776 of the family's 1533-position model. The record is from RNAcentral. Lineage: Bacteria; Pseudomonadati; Pseudomonadota.